UAUUUUGGCUGCGUUCUCUGGUUUUGUUUUGACCAUUUUUGGCAUGGGAAUGGGUUUGAUGGCCAGUUAUGAGCAGUCAUCCAGAUGUAUAUGAUCAGAAGAUUUAAGACAUGGUUCGCGCAUCAGCAUAUCCAUCACACUUUGGAGGUGAGUCCCUCCACACACAAUGUUGCUUGUGAUGGUCUCUUCAUCUAAAUUCAUACAAAUCAAUGCAACAACAUAAAAAUUGUUUAUUAAUCUUUAUUAUUGCAUGACCAUGGCAGGUGAAUAUAUUGUUACAAUAUAUAAUAUAUGAUAUUAACCGCCCAUAUAUACCAUGAACCUCUACAAAAUAUGACCCAUCCGGCCAUCCAUAUAUAUUGUAUUGUGAGAUGCAUG
RNAcentral lists this long non-coding RNA (378 nucleotides) under Panax ginseng (ginseng). RNAcentral describes it as "long non-coding RNA (PGIN_LNC004494)". The record is from RNAcentral. Lineage: Eukaryota; Viridiplantae; Streptophyta; Magnoliopsida; Apiales; Araliaceae.